GCGACCUUAGUUCAGUUGGUAGAACGGCGGUCUCCAAAACCGCAUGUCGUGGGUUCGAGUCCUACAGGUCGCG
RNAcentral lists this transfer RNA (73 nucleotides) under bacterium. Its description in RNAcentral is "tRNA-Trp". It matches the Rfam family "tRNA". From Rfam's summary of the family: Transfer RNA (tRNA) molecules are approximately 80 nucleotides in length. Their secondary structure includes four short double-helical elements and three loops (D, anti-codon, and T loops). Further hydrogen bonds mediate the characteristic L-shaped molecular structure. tRNAs have two regions of fundamental functional importance: the anti-codon, which is responsible for specific mRNA codon recognition, and the 3' end, to which the tRNAs corresponding amino acid is attached (by aminoacyl-tRNA synthetases). tRNAs cope with the degeneracy of the genetic code in two manners: having more than one tRNA (with a specific anti-codon) for a particular amino acid; and 'wobble' base-pairing, i.e. permitting non-standard base-pairing at the 3rd anti-codon position. The record is from RNAcentral. RNAcentral also lists the same sequence under 3 other names.